This 465-nucleotide ribosomal RNA is filed under the name uncultured bacterium. RNAcentral's name for it is "partial 16S ribosomal RNA". It matches the Rfam family "Bacterial small subunit ribosomal RNA", at positions 28 to 507 of the family's 1533-position model. The record is from RNAcentral.
GACGAACGCUGGCGGCGUGCUUAACACAUGCAAGUCGUACGGUAAGGCCCUUUCGGGGGUACACGAGUGGCGAACGGGUGAGUAACACGUGAGUAACCUGCCCACAACUUUGGGAUAACGCUAGGAAACUGGUGCUAAUACUGGAUAUGUGCUCCUGCUGCAUGGGGGGGGUUGGGAAGCUCCGGCGGUUGUGGAUGGACUCGCGGCCUAUCAGCUUGUUGGUGGGGUAGUGGCCUACCAAGGCGGCGACGGGUAGCCGGCCUGAGAGGGUGACCGGCCACAUUGGGACUGAGAUACGGCCCAGACUCCUACGGGAGGCAGCAGUGGGGAAUAUUGCACAAUGGGCGCAAGCCUGAUGCAGCAACGCCGCGUGCGGGAUGACGGCCUUCGGGUUGUAAACCGCUUUCAGCAGGGACGAAGCUUUUUGUGACGGUACCUGCAGAAGAAGCACCGGCUAACUACGUG